CGCGUAGGUGGUUCGAUAAGUCGGAGGUGAAAGCCCUCGGCUCAACCGAGGAUCCGCGUCCGAUACUGUCGAACUUGAGUGCAGGAGAGGAGAGCGGAAUUCCCAGUGUAGCGGUGAAAUGCGUAGAUAUUGGGAGGAACACCGGUGGCGAAGGCGGCUCUCUGGACUGCUACUGACGCUGAGGCGCGAAAGCUAGGGGAGCAAACGGGAUUAGAUACCCCGGUAGUCCUAGCCGUAAACGAUGGGCACUAGGUGUGGGAGGUAUCGACCCCUUCCGUGCCGCAGCUAACGCAUUAAGUGCCCCGCCUGGGGAGUACGGCCGCAAGGUUGAA
RNAcentral lists this ribosomal RNA (332 nucleotides) under uncultured bacterium. Its description in RNAcentral is "bacterial SSU rRNA". It matches the Rfam family "Bacterial small subunit ribosomal RNA", at positions 568 to 898 of the family's 1533-position model. The record is from RNAcentral.